RNAcentral lists this ribosomal RNA (429 nucleotides) under uncultured archaeon. RNAcentral describes it as "bacterial SSU rRNA". It matches the Rfam family "Archaeal small subunit ribosomal RNA", at positions 474 to 903 of the family's 1478-position model. The record is from RNAcentral.
UACCAGCUCUCCGAGUGGUAGGUAUGAUUAUUGGGCUUAAAGCGUCCGUAGCCGGCUUAGCAAGUCUCCUGUUAAACUCAGCGACCUAAUCGUUGAAUCGCGGGAGAUACUACUAGGCUAGGAGGCGGGAGAGGUCGACGGUACUUCUGGGGUAGGGGUGAAGUCCUAUAAUCCCGGGAGGACCACCAGUGGCGAAGGCUGUCGACUAGAACGCGCUCGACGGUGAGGGACGAAAGCUGGGGUAGCGAACCGGAUUAGAUACCCGGGUAGUCCCAGCUGUAAACGAUGCGGGCUAGGUGUUGGGAUGGCUACGGGCCAUUUCAGUGCCGCAGGGAAGCCAUUAAGCCCGCCGCCUGGGGAGUACGGCCGCAAGGCUGAAACUUAAAGGAAUUGGCGGGGGAGCACCACAAGGCGUGAAGCUUGCGGUUC